GUGUUCGGCAUGAGGGUGCCUGCAGAGGAGGUGAAUCCCUGCGUUUUCUAUUCUUUUUUUCUUCCAACUGGUGUGGAUCCCAGACAAUUUCAGGGUCCUGCAGGGUUUGAGACCCUCUGUGAACACUGACCCGGGACCCCGUUUUGCCCAUGCGAAGUUGACGCCAGCGCAGCCCCCGGCCAGGGGCACCGUCUCCUCGGCCCCGGGAUGCUGGACGGAGGGGACAACGUGCAGGGGCAGCUGCUGCUGGGCUGUGGACCUCCCGGAACGGGAGGAGCCCGGGAGGGGCUGGCCCAGCAGUGAGGGCUCCGAUGCGCCUCAAUUCAUAUGCUAAGGAGCCCUGGAUUCGGCUUUAAUUGCCGGAGUGGGAGGUGACCCCAGGGGCCCAAGCUGGGGGCGUGGCUGGGAAAUGCACAGAAAGAGACUUCGACAGGGGUAGCUAUCGUUUGUGCUGUGCUGUGCACACGUCUGGCUGAUAGAAAUCUAUGUCUAUAAACAGUUCCUUCCAGGUCUCCGUGGAAAACUGAAGAUUCUUGUGUGCUUUCAGAAAAGAGGUUCCAAGGAAAAGGGCAGCCAUUUAGUUUUCACAAGUCUGGGCAGUGAGCGAUUUGGAGCUUCCAUCCUUGGCUGACAUCAUGAACACCAAUGUUGCUGGCCUCGAUCGCAAGAAGGGUGGGACUUCGUGCUUAGCCUUCCUGGGGAAGGGCCUGUCCCUGGGUCACGUCCCCAGUGACCACAGGAGGAAGAGAAGGGAUGAGGAUCCUGGGGGGCCUGGCUCUGCGUCCACCCGUCUCUGUGUGGAUGCCUCCUGUGUCCAGGGUGAUAACCGGUCACCCGAAUGUGUCCUUGGGGUCAUUCCUGGCUUCUCCUGCCGCUUGAUCACCCCUCUGGCUGCAGGGAGCCCAGGACGGAGAAGGAGAGACCUCAUUCUCCCUGGGGAAUGCAGGCUGAGACCACCCAUGCUUCUGGAGCAGGGUUUCAUGUGGGGGAGGUCCCUCCAGGGAGGGACAGUGAACUGACGCUGUGAUAUUGCUCAGGAUGGAGGCCCAGGGCAGACGGCGUCACCAGCUGCCGCAGAAGCCAGGUUGCCAGAGGGGCUGUGUCACCAGCCCUGGGGACGCCAUGUUGCUGUGCGUUUCGACACAUUCCCGUGGAGUGUCUGAGGAAAAACAGGGCACACGCAUUCCUGAUAAGAUUGCACCAAAAGGCCAGGGCGGGGGACCAGGCUCCCAGCCUCCCUCUGUCUCAGUUGGGGGCCGAGGGGCAGGGACAGCCAGGAGAAGGCCCAGCCAGAUGCUGCUGGCUUCCCCCAGGACUCUGCCCGACUGGCCUCUCGGUUAAACCUCCUCACCUGAGCCUCUCUUAUGGCGUGGUUGAGUCACACAUGAGAGGGUUUUGUCUGCCGGGAGGGGCUCUUCUUAUGGGACAACAGGGGCGCGAGGUGUGUGGUGUGGCUCUCAGGGAUGUGUCUGGACUCUAUCACGUCUGAGUGUCCCUGGGGCCAGAGUGCUGGGGGCAGGAGCCUGUGGUUUAUCAAGCACCUUCUGCCAGCUGAGGCCGUGACUGUUUGUCCCUUACUGGAGGAGGCUUCAAGGUCAGCCUCUUCUUCCUUUGAUCCCAAGCUUGCCGUGUCUCCUCCUCAUUCCCCACGUCCACAUGAAAAGGCAGUGUUCACAGGUGGGUUGGUCUGAGAUUGAAAUCGCAAGGCCAGGAUUUUCUGUCUGGGCAGCCCCCUCGAGUCAGCCUCAGAGGAGCCCAGACCUCCUGGAUGGCUUUCGGCGAGCCUCCCAGUGGGCACAGCACUCGCCACCGGACACUGCAUGGACUCAGCUUCCACACUGCAAUGGGUACGGCCUGGUCCUUGCACUACCAUGGGCAAGGAGGAACGCUAUGCCUGGUGGGGGUGAGCACCCCAUCUCAUGACAAAGCAGUUCUCCAGGGUCUGCCCCACUUUUCUGUAAACCUGGGGGUCCAGCCCAGUGCAUUGGCUGGAAGGAGAGGGGACGCCUCCUGUCCCAGCUCACGGCGCUCUGCCGACCCCACUGUCCUCCCCAACCUUGGUGCUCCGGGGGGCCCCAAUGCCAUAGAUGCACUUCAUGGGGAGCAACUGGGGCUGUUCCUGAGGACCAAGAUGGGCAGAGACCCUAAAGACGUCCAUGGAUUGACCCCUGCUCUCUGUGGCCCCUGCCUGGCUGGCCUCCCCUCCUCACACUCUCCACAGCUCUCAUGCAACACAGCGCCUCUAAAAAUGCUGUCCUGAAAAUGUGCGCUUUGGGGAAGAGCAGCUUCCUCCUCUUCGACCAAGUUCGGGUCCCUUCUACCCUUCAGUGGCUGUAGGCAGUCGGUGAGGGUCCUGGACGGGGUGGGCUGGGGGCAGGGAGGGGCGCUGUGGGCUUUGGUUGCUCAGGGCUCCUGGCAGACACACCAACCUGGUGUGUUUGGAAAUGCACCUGGAUGUGUGCUGACCUCUGUGUGGAGGACCACGGGUGUGUUCAUCCCCCACUGGCUGCACCCCCGGGAGGCUGCAGCGUGCACCAUUCGGUCCCUACGCUGCAGUUAUUCUUGUAUUCUGCCUUGUCACUGGCCUUGCUGCCCAUGACUCCCUCAGGUCAGCCCACGUCUCUGUCAAACUUUCAUCCUCCGCAAUUCUGCGCAGCCUGUAAAUGCUUAAAAAAGAUUGCGGAACAGGUGAGUCACAUUACAGAAAGGACGCAACCUGGAAAAGCACAGACAUUCCUUCCCCUUCUGCACCUGUUAGAGUAAGGGAGGGGCAUGAGGGGGUGGGACCUGCACAAGGUGCAGCUGAUGGAAAUGCAGUCUUCAGGAGAAGCCCUGGCUCUGUAACGGCAAAGGCUGCGUGCCUGGGAAAAAGACAAACGUGUCUUAUCCAUAGACGGCCCCCCUGCCCCAAAGGCUGUCACGCUGCCGUUCAGUUAUCUAUUCUGCAGCGAUAGAACUGGCUUGACCUAAAAAUUCAGUGACGGAAAAAUGUCAUCUAAUGCUGCUUAGUGCAGUCAGGCGGUCAGCAGAUGAGGGCAGAAGGCCACUGGUCUUUGACAGAACACGCGGACGGCGAAAUAACAAAACAGGCAGCGGAUGAGGGCAGAAGGCCACUGGUCUUUGACAGAACACGCGGACGGCGAAAUAACAAAACAGGAUUCAGGCUGCACUGUCAGCAGCGGAGACAAACAAUUCUUCCAAAAUAAACAAGCGAGCUCCCAGCAGAGGCCUGUGAAGUCUCCCGUUCUGCCCAAACCACACACAUGUGGCCCACAGAGGAGGCUGCAGAGGCCCACGGGGCACUCAAGUGGCCGAGUGUGAGACCCAGGUCACCGGCCGUCCUCCCUGUCAGAACAAAAGGUUCAUGGAAAGGGCCAGGAGGACACAGUGAGGGAACCGAAUGCCACUGGCAUUUCCUGGAUCUUUUGUGCCAUAGUCUAAGCAUUUAGAGGAAGCACUGCGAGUUUGCUGCGCUGGAAGCUGAUGUGCUCCCCAAACACAAGACGCAGGACUGGAGGCCUUGCCCCGCAGCUCGAGAGGCCGUUUUGGGACAUAUCAAGGAAGGAAGGCUUAAGCGACACAGGACCUGGCUGACUUACGCACCCGCUGUCUAAAGAUGGGGUGCUGGCCGGUGAACUGGAGUGGCUCACGGCAGACCUGGAGUGACAGUCAUGGGUCUGUACCUGUGUGGAGUCCUCCAUGGCUGGGCUUGCAGAGACUGAGCUGGACUGCAUUGUGCAUUGGCUGGAAGGAGAGGAGCCACUGAGAGACCCAGCUUACGGCACUCUGCCCACCCCAACCCUGGCGCUCCAGGGGGGCUCAAUGCCACAGACACACUCCAGGGGGACAAUUGGGGCUGUUCCCAAGGACCAGGAGGGACAAAUGCCCUAAAGAUGUCCAUGGUUUGACCCCUGCUGUCUGUGGGCCCUGCCUGGCUGGCCUCCCCUUCUCACACUCUCCACAGUCCUCAUGCAACGCAGCACAUCUGAAAAUGCUGUCCUGAAAACGCGCACUCUGGGGAAGAGCAGCUUCCUCCUCUCUGAGUGGAGCGGGCUGGCCCCAUGAGGCGUGAUUUUCAUUGUGAAAUGUGCUUCACGUAACACUGGGGCCCUUGUCACCAUUUUUAAUUGUACAGUUUGGAGGCAAUAAGUGUGUUCAUCAUCACCACCUUCCACCCACAGAGCUUCUUCAUCUUCCCAAACGGAAACUCUGUCGUCGGUAAACACUCCCUCCCUUCCCGCAGCCCCUGGCACCUGCCUUCUCCUUCCUGUCUCCAUGAACCUGAGAACUCUUCGGACCCCACCUAAGUAGAGUUGGGUGGGAUUUGUCCUCUGUGGCUGGCUCGCGUCACUCAGCGGCCCUGAAGACUCAUCUGCGCCGCAGCCUGUCCCAGAAUCUCCCUCCCUCUAACACUGAUUAAUAUCCUGCUGCACAAAAAAACAAAGAUGAUAGUUUGAUACCUGAAAUCUACUUGAAAAUUGGUAAGAAAA
This 4490-nucleotide long non-coding RNA is filed under the name Pan troglodytes (chimpanzee). RNAcentral's name for it is "lincRNA". The record is from RNAcentral. Lineage: Eukaryota; Metazoa; Chordata; Mammalia; Primates; Hominidae.